This 453-nucleotide small RNA is filed under the name Pongo abelii (Sumatran orangutan). Its description in RNAcentral is "processed transcript". The record is from RNAcentral. Lineage: Eukaryota; Metazoa; Chordata; Mammalia; Primates; Hominidae.
AGCUUAUCGAGACCCUCUCUGCCCAGCUGCCUCUGCUCCUUCCUCCUCCUCCUCCUCCAAGUGUCUUCCAGCUACGCAGGGCAGUUCAGAGUGAUAGGACCAAGACACCCUAUCCGGGCUCUGGUCGGGGAUGAAGUGGAAUUGCCGUGUCGCAUAUCUCCUGGGAAGAACGCUACAGGCAUGGAGGUGGGGUGGUACCGCCCCCCCUUCUCUAGGGUGGUUCAUCUCUACAGAAAUGGCAAGGACCAAGACGGAGAGCAGGCACCUGAAUAUCGGGGCCGAACAGAGCUGCUGAAAGAUGCUAUUGGUGAGGGAAAGGUGACUCUCAGGAUCCGGAAUGUAAGGUUCUCAGAUGAAGGAGGUUUCACCUGCUUCUUCCGAGAUCAUUCUUACCAAGAGGAGGCAGCAAUGGAAUUGAAAGUAGAAGCUCCCUUAAAGCAGAGAUCAAGAUGA